RNAcentral lists this ribosomal RNA (499 nucleotides) under uncultured bacterium. Its description in RNAcentral is "partial 16S ribosomal RNA". It matches the Rfam family "Bacterial small subunit ribosomal RNA", at positions 28 to 507 of the family's 1533-position model. The record is from RNAcentral.
GACGAACGCUGGCGGCGUGCCUAAUACAUGCAAGUCGAGCGGACUGAAUGGGAGCUUGCUCUUGUUCGGUCAGCGGCGGACGGGUGAGUAACACGUGGGCAACCUGCCCGCAAGACCGGGAUAACUCCGGGAAACCGGAGCUAAUACCGGAUAACACCGAAGACCGCAUGGUCUUUGGUUGAAAGGCGGCGCAAGCUGCCACUUGCGGAUGGGCCCGCGGCGCAUUAGCUAGUUGGUGAGGUAACGGCUCACCAAGGCGACGAUGCGUAGCCGGCCUGAGAGGGUGACCGGCCACACUGGGACUGAGACACGGCCCAGACUCCUACGGGAGGCAGCAGUAGGGAAUCUUCCGCAAUGGGCGAAAGCCUGACGGAGCGACGCCGCGUGAGCGAAGAAGGCCUUCGGGUCGUAAAGCUCUGUUGUGGGGUACGAAGGAGCGCCGUUUGAAGAAGGCGGCGCGGUGACGGUACCUCACGAGGAAGCCCCGGCUAACUACGUG